AGUCAUCUUUGACGUCCUUUUCAGGUGCGUUUCUAUAUAAGCAAAAACACACUUUUUGUAUAUUUGCUAUCCUUUAGUUUCAUUUUGCGAAGGUUUAGUAGCUAGCAGACUAAUACUUGGAAUUGUAUUGAUUAUAUAUUACAAUAUAGUUGUAUAAAUAAUUAAAGUUGUGGGCUUGAUUAAAGUAAUUCAAAUAACAUUUAUGUCAAUGAAAUAAAAUUGAUUGUUAGUCCAAAGGGAUGAUGUGAAAUUGACAGAUUUGGAGAUUGAUUGCAAAUUAACAAUAUAUUUGGUAAUAAAGUUUUGACUAUGGUUACUCUUUUUGCAAGUUGAAAUUGAUGUAACCCACCCCUUUCAACUUAGAUUGCAAGGAUUUUGUAGAUAUAGAUAGUGUCAUGAGCCUUUGCUGAGUUGUUCCUGCACGACUCUUUAUAGUUUUUUCAUUUCUAAUGUUGUACUACGAGUAUGAAGGUUGGACAUUUCUUUUAUUAAAAUUUUUUUUAUAUAUAUAUUUUUCUUUUUUAAAGAUCAUUGAGCAUUUCUGUUCUCGAUGCCAUCACAUUAUUUUUACUGAAAUCCUGCAGAUAUCUACAACACUUAGGUUACGAAGUUACUUAUGUGAGAAAUUUU
Molecule: unclassified non-coding RNA, 630 nt
Filed under: Hevea brasiliensis (rubber tree)
Lineage: Eukaryota; Viridiplantae; Streptophyta; Magnoliopsida; Malpighiales; Euphorbiaceae
Source: RNAcentral